This 407-nucleotide ribosomal RNA is filed under the name uncultured bacterium. RNAcentral describes it as "partial 16S ribosomal RNA". It matches the Rfam family "Bacterial small subunit ribosomal RNA", at positions 30 to 526 of the family's 1533-position model. The record is from RNAcentral.
AUUGAACGCUGGCGGCAGGCCUAACACAUGCAAGUCGAGCGGAGCGGCGGACGGGUGCGUAAUGCCUAGGAAUCUGCCUGGUAGCGGGGGAUAACGUCCGGAAACGGGCGCUAAUACCGCAUACUAUCAGAUGAGCCUAGGUCGGAUUAGCUAGUUGGUGGGGUAAAGGCCUACCAAGGCGACGAUCCGUAACUGGUCUGAGAGGAUGAUCAGUCACAAUGAAACUGAGAAACGGUCCAGACUCCUACGGGAGUCAGCAGUGGGGAAUAUGGGGCAAUGGGCGAAAGCCUGAUCGAGACGUGCCGCGGGUGUGAGGAAGGUCUUCGGAUUGUAAAGCACUUUAAGUUGGGAGGCGUUACCAACAGAAUAGGCACCGGCUAACUUCGUGCCAGCAGCCGCGGUAAUUC